Molecule: microRNA, 22 nt
Filed under: Oryza sativa (Asian cultivated rice)
Lineage: Eukaryota; Viridiplantae; Streptophyta; Magnoliopsida; Poales; Poaceae
Description: osa-miR2092-3p
Source: miRBase by way of RNAcentral
ACCAGCAUUCCAUUGGCAGAGG